UACGUAGGCAGCGAGCGUUGUUCGGAGUUACUGGGCGUAAAGGGUGCGUAGGCGGCUGUUUAAGUUUGGUGUGAAAUCUCCCGGCUCAACUGGGAGGGUGCGCCGAAUACUGAAUGACUAGAGUGCGGGAGAGGAGAGUGGAAUUCCUGGUGUAGCGGUGAAAUGCGUAGAUAUCAGGAGGAACACCGGUGGUGUAGACGGCUCUCUGGACCGUAACUGACGCUGAGGCACGAAAGCGUGGGUAGCAAACAGG
Molecule: ribosomal RNA, 253 nt
Filed under: uncultured bacterium
Lineage: Bacteria
Description: partial 16S ribosomal RNA
Rfam family: Bacterial small subunit ribosomal RNA
Source: RNAcentral